AGGCGAACCAAGCCUUGGUUCCAGCAAGCCCCAGACAGACUGGGAAAGCAGAUCCACUUGAGACACCAGAGUAAAACGGGCACUUGGAGCAUAAUGCAUGGCACCAGGUUUGGUGAAUAGACUCCCAUCAGCCUCAUCAUGAAGUCUCCUGUCCUCUUUCCUGGACCAAGGGGAAGUCCCUGUGAUCGAAGGGCCAACUCCUUGUCCUCUUCACUGCCUUUACCACACCUUCCCAGCAUGAGGAGAAGCAGAGAGAACAAAGCGGGUCUCUUUGCAUUCACAGACCAUGGCUGAUCUCAUGGGCUCAUCUGCGAGACACACCACUAUC
Molecule: long non-coding RNA, 328 nt
Organism: Jaculus jaculus (lesser Egyptian jerboa)
Lineage: Eukaryota; Metazoa; Chordata; Mammalia; Rodentia; Dipodidae
Exons: 3
Source: RefSeq, a predicted model, not a curated record